This 278-nucleotide long non-coding RNA is filed under the name Dermacentor andersoni. RNAcentral's name for it is "uncharacterized LOC126538320". The record is from RNAcentral. Lineage: Eukaryota; Metazoa; Arthropoda; Arachnida; Ixodida; Ixodidae.
AAGUCGCGCCUGGAAGAAUUGCUGUACGCUGCUACACAAGCUUCAACAAUAAUGAACAAAUCAAGAGAGACCACCACAUGGUGACAGCGAUCAUACUCCUCCACUGCAUCGUCACUAGGCACCGCUGCGUCGACAUACUUGAGUUAAGACUUCAGCCACGGGAACAACGCAACCUCGAUUCACUGAUGUGCAACACCAUGAAGCGGAUCUCUUCGCUCAGCUGCUUUUACCUGAGUGAUUCAGAUUUAACUAAUACAGCGAUCACGGUUGCGGUGUUC